UGGGGAAUAUUGGACAAUGGGCGAAAGCCUGAUCCAGCAAUGCCGCGUGUGUGAAGAAGGCCUGCGGGUUGUAAAGCACUUUCAGUAGAGAAGAAAAGCGCACGGCUAAUAUCCGUGUGUCUUGACGUAACCUACAGAAGAAGCACCGGCUAACUCCGUGCCAGCAGCCGCGGUAAUACGUAGGGUGCAGGCGUUAAUCGGAAUUACUGGGCGUAAAGCGUGCGCAGGCGGCUACUCAAGUCAGAUGUGAAAUCCCCGGGCUUAACCUGGGAACUGCGUUUGAAACUGGGUGGCUAGAGUGCGGCAGAGGGGGGUGGAAUUCCACGUGUAGCAGUGAAAUGCGUAGAUAUGUGGAGGAACACCGAUGGCGAAGGCAGCCCCCUGGGCCUGCACUGACGCUCGUGCACGAAAGCGUGGGGAGCAA
This 424-nucleotide ribosomal RNA is filed under the name uncultured bacterium. RNAcentral's name for it is "bacterial SSU rRNA". It matches the Rfam family "Bacterial small subunit ribosomal RNA", at positions 355 to 771 of the family's 1533-position model. The record is from RNAcentral.